AGCGAACGCUGGCGGUAGGCCUAACACAUGCAAGUCGAACGGCAGCACAGUAAGAGCUUGCUCUUACGGGUGGCGAGUGGCGGACGGGUGAGGAAUACAUCGGAAUCUACUUUUUCGUGGGGGAUAACGUAGGGAAACUUACGCUAAUACCGCAUACGACCUACGGGUGAAAGCAGGGGAUCUUCGGACCUUGCGCGAUUGAAUGAGCCGAUGUCGAAUUAGAUAGUUGGCGGGGUAAAGGCCCACCAAGGCGACGAUCCGCAGCUGGUCUGAGAGGAUGGUCAGCCGCCCUAGAAGUGGAACACGGACCAUAGGCCUGCGGGAGGGAGCAGUCGGGUAUAUUAGACAAAAGGCGCGAGCAUGGUCCAGCGAUACGACGUGUGUUAAGAAAACGUUCGGGGUGUGAAGCCCUUUUGUGGGGAAAGAAAAGCAGUCGGUUAAUACCCCGCUGUUCUGACGGUACCCAAUAAAUAAGCACCGGCUAACUACGUG
RNAcentral lists this ribosomal RNA (492 nucleotides) under uncultured bacterium. RNAcentral describes it as "partial 16S ribosomal RNA". It matches the Rfam family "Bacterial small subunit ribosomal RNA", at positions 29 to 507 of the family's 1533-position model. The record is from RNAcentral.